This 524-nucleotide ribosomal RNA is filed under the name uncultured Acidobacteriota bacterium. Its description in RNAcentral is "bacterial SSU rRNA". It matches the Rfam family "Bacterial small subunit ribosomal RNA", at positions 355 to 897 of the family's 1533-position model. The record is from RNAcentral. Lineage: Bacteria; Pseudomonadati; Acidobacteriota.
UGGGGAAUCUUGCACAAUGGGGGAAACCCUGAUGCAGCGACGCCGCGUGAGCGAUGAAGCCCUUCGGGGUGUAAAGCUCUUUCGGCAGGAACGAUAAUGACGGUACCUGAAGAAGAAGCUGCGGCUAACUACGUGCCAGCAGCCGCGGUAAUACGUAGGCAGCAAGCGUUGUUCGGAGUUACUGGGCGUAAAGAGUGCGUAGGUGGUUCUUUAAGUUCGGUGUGAAAUCUCCCGGCUUAACUGGGAGGGUGCGCCGGAAACUGGAGAGCUCGAGUGUGGGAGAGGAAAGCGGAAUUCCUGGUGUAGCGGUGAAAUGCGUAGAUAUCAGGAGGAACACCGGCGGUGUAGACGGCUUUCUGGACCACUACUGACACUGAAGCACGAAAGCGUGGGGAGCAAACAGGAUUAGAUACCCUGGUAGUCCACGCCCUAAACGAUGCAUACUUGGUGUGAGCCAUUCAUUUGGUUCGUGCCGGAGCUAACGCGUUAAGUAUGCCGCCUGGGGAGUACGGUCGCAAGGCUGA